Nelumbo nucifera (sacred lotus) is the source of this 3368-nucleotide non-coding RNA. The record is from RefSeq and is a predicted model, not a curated record. NCBI's taxonomy places the organism in Eukaryota, Viridiplantae, Streptophyta, Magnoliopsida, Proteales, Nelumbonaceae.
GAAGAUCUACUCAACGCAAAAUUUGUGUGAUCACCCUGAGAUCACGGCAUCCUUUCUUGACUUUUGCGAUUCUGAGGAUCUAGCUUCGAUAGAUUCGUAUAAUCAUCCACAGCCACGUGUCCACGAUGAAUCAUCUACAUCAAAAUUGGGACAUGGGAAAGGAGAAUUAGCACUGUUUUUUCCAGACAUGGACCGUUGGAUUUGUAUCUCGAUCAAAUUUGUUGUAUUGGAUCUUGAGGACACGUUGCCGUGGCCAACCGAAUCGCACCGCUAUGGGAAAGCGAGAACCGAGAAGACCGGCUGCAAGUAACUAUACAGCAAAGCCUGGGUGACGAAGCAAUUCCAAGGAAAUAUCUGAAACCCAAGGUUAGGGUUUGUUUUUGGGACCUUCCUAGGUCUCACCAGAAAGGUCAGGGUUAUGCUUAUGAGCUGAAAACAAUGGCUUAACCUAUCCUGCAUUGUAAUUUAGUCACAAAAAGCUUUGGAAAGUCUGGGCUCCCUCUGCAUAUUACGUUAGCAAAAAGAUUCUAGAUGGGGGCAUUUUUGAGCUUGACUGGUAACAAAGCUAGGGCAGGUGAGUACAGUGAAAUCUCUCAGAGGGAAACCUGCAAGAGACAAAGGAUGUUAUCAAGUUUUAGUGAGGAGAAUCCAAGACUGAUCCCCAGUCUCCCUGAUGAGAUAUCAAUCCAGAUCCUUGCUAGACUUCCCAGAAUUCACUACUUGAAUAUGAAGUUGGUGUCACGGAGCUGGAAAAAUGCUCUUACAAGUCCAGAACUCUUCAGUUUGAGAAGGGAACUUGGAACAACAGAAGAAUGGCUCUAUUUAUUGACUAAGGUUGAUGGUGAUAAGCUUCUGUGGCAUGCACUGGAUCCUUCCUCCAGAAAAUGGCAACGUUUGCCCCCAAUGCCAAAUGUUUCUUAUGAAGAAGAGUCUAAGAGGGGUUUGUCUGGGUUUCGGAUGUGGAAUGUGGUUGGGUCGGGUAUCAAGAUCGCAGAUGUCAUCAAGGGAUGGUUAGGAAGAAGGGAUGGAUUGGAUCGGAUGCCAUUUUGUGGUUGUGCUGUUGGGGCAGUUGAUGGAUGUCUCUAUGUUUUAGGUGGAUUCUCUAGAGUAUCAGCCAUGAAAUGUGUCUGGAGAUAUGAUCCAGUUCAAAAUGCAUGGGUUGAAAUGACAUCCAUGUCAAUGGGUAGGGCCUAUUGUAAGACGGGCAUCUUAAACAGCAAGCUUUAUGCUGUUGGUGGGGUUAGUAUGAGUCGAGGUGGAUGUACUCCUCUUCAAUCUGCCGAAGUAUUUGAUCCUCGUACUGGAAUAUGGACCCAAGUACCAAACAUGCCAUUCUCAAGAGCUCAGGUGUUACCUACUGCCUUUUUGGCUGAUAUGCUGAAGCCUAUUGCCACUGGAAUGACUUCAUAUAGGGGGAGGCUUUGUGUGCCACAGAGUCUUUAUUCCUGGCCCUUUUUUGUUGAUGUUGGAGGAGAGGUUUAUGAUCCUGAAACAAAUUCCUGGGAUGAAAUGCCAGUUGGCAUGGGAGAGGGUUGGCCUGCAAAGCAGGCAGGAACAAAGUUGGGUGUUGUUGUAGAUGGAGAAUUAUAUGCUUUAGAUCCAUCUAGUUCUCUAGAUAGUGGCAAGAUCAAGAUAUAUGAUCCCCAAGAAGAUACUUGGAAAGUAAUUGUAGAUAAAGUUCCUAUUCGUGAUUAUACUGAUUCAGAAUCUCCAUAUUUGCUUGCUGGUUUUCUUGGGAAACUUCAUGUCAUAACUAAAGAUGCCAAUCAUGACAUUUCUGUAUUGCAAGCUGACCUGCAUAAUCAUUUAAACCCUUCCCAGCCGGCUUCAUCUUCAAAUGAACAACAAAGCUCCAUGGCUGAAGCAGAAAGAGAUAUUUGGAAGAUCAUUGUCACUAAGGAUUUUGGUUCUGCUGAACUGGUUAGCUGCCAGGUUCUUGAUAUCUAACAACUAUGUCGAUCUGUGCAGUGCAGUUGUUCCUUUUCUUAUGAUUGUAGUACCUUUGAAAUCUACUACAUACUUCAGGACUUUAUGGCAUAUAAUAUGGCCAUAACUGGAUUACUGGAAUCAGAUAUUUGUAUCUGACUUGAUAUCAAAAUUUUCCCGGGCAUCAAUCCAGCAGAUGUUCUUCAAAGUAAUGAUUUUGUUAUUGCUAAGGGUUAGUCGGUGAUCAAGGUGGACUUCUGGUAAGGCUGAGGAUGGGCUAUUGCAUAUCAGAAAUUCAAUGAAAUUCUUGGAAAGUUCAUUAAAUCGUAUCACCACCAUUAUCCACAUUAAGUGGCAGCAUCUAUGAGUGUGAUGGUUUUUCUCGUAUAAAUUAUACAUAGAUGGUGGUCAUUUUCUUCUCACAUCUAAAUUGUAUAAGCUGGGUUCAGAAGAUUUCUGAACAGGGUUCUUUAUGCUAUUGAUUUGAGGAAGAGUAGUUUACAUACCAUAUAUGGUGGCAGUUUUCUUUCCUUAAAAAGGUUUGUAUAACUCCUUUGGGAGGGGGAGUGGCUGGGCAGGGUUGUUAAUGUUGACAGUUUCUUUUAACCAUGGAGCAAGGUGAGAAUAUCUUUGUGAAAUCUCCGUUAACUGUGCUGGGCUAAGUUUUAUGUCAAGGUUAAUAAUCUGUCUUCCAAUCUACAGAGAGGCUGAUGACUUGUCAAUCAUGUACAUGAUAUUCAGAUGUACAAGUUUGGUGUUCAAUCAACUUUUCAUUAACAAGAUUCACUUUGCAUCCAUAGAACCAUCUCCAUGCUGAUGUUUACAGAAAAAUCAUUCUACAGGCCAAUGAUCCAUAUAUAUGGAGAUGCUUAUGAAUGAGGAAGGAUGCCCAAACCCAGAGGCAGAGGUACACACGAGAAUCUUGAAUUGUUGCUGCCCAAAAGUGGAAUAAUGCCAGAGAUUCUUUUCAUGCAAAAUGAUAAUAAAAAAUUUGUCCAGACUUGACAUGGUUGAUGGUGGAGGUUGGGCUUUUGCUUUCAACCAUCUAUAUUCUUCUUGAGAUGGGCAUCUCAAGUGUCAACAAGGAUUAUACGUAGGUAUUGUGUUCUGGUGUAACCUGCAAAUGGCCUAGGCUUCACGCUUGCCAAUUCCGCAUUGUAUACGGUAUACCUGAAGAGGACAACUGGAGAGUUCACGGGUCUGAUGGUGUCAUGGACAUGGUAGUUGAUCCCUUAGCCAUUUUAGAGAGGAAUGGAGAGAAUUGCAGAGGCCUCAACAUGUUUAUUUCAAGGAUCAAAAUAUCGAUACGCACAAUACCAAAAAUUAGGUAUCAGGGCGUAUCGAUAGACCGAUACUCUUUUUUUUCUAAUUUUUAAACUAAACAGGCCAAGAAAGAUGCCUUCUAUUUUUACCCUUGGUUUAUUUGUAGUGGCCAAGCUUUA